This 468-nucleotide ribosomal RNA is filed under the name uncultured bacterium. RNAcentral's name for it is "partial 16S ribosomal RNA". It matches the Rfam family "Bacterial small subunit ribosomal RNA", at positions 28 to 507 of the family's 1533-position model. The record is from RNAcentral.
GACGAACGCUGGCGGCGUGCUUAACACAUGCAAGUCGAACGGAAAGGCCCUGCUUUUGUGGGUGGCUCGAGUGGCGAACGGGUGAGUAACACGUGAGUAACCUGCCCUUGACUUGGGGAUAACUUCAGGAAACUGGGGCUAUUACCGGAUAGGAGCUCCUGCUGCAUGUUGGGGGUUGGAAAGUUUCGGCGGUUGGGGAUGGACUCGCGGCUUAUCAGCUUGUUGGUGGGGUAGUGGCUUACCAAGGCUUUGACGGGUAGCCGGCCUGAGAGGGUGACCGGCCACAUUGGGACUGAGAUACGGCCCAGACUCCUACGGGAGGCAGCAGUGGGGAAUAUUGCACAAUGGGCGGAAGCCUGAUGCAGCAACGCCGCGUGCGGGAUGACGGCCUUCGGGUUGUAAACCGCUUUCGCCUGUGACGAAGCGUGAGUGACGGUAAUGGGUAAAGAAGCACCGGCUAACUACGUG